RNAcentral lists this long non-coding RNA (699 nucleotides) under Phasianus colchicus (ring-necked pheasant). Its description in RNAcentral is "lncRNA (ENSPCLG00000019915.1)". Lineage: Eukaryota; Metazoa; Chordata; Aves; Galliformes; Phasianidae. The record is from RNAcentral.
UAUUCCUUUCAAAUAUACUUUGGGUCAUCCUGAAGGAAGGCCAUUUUCACUCUAUGAGGUUCCCCCUCUGCCAUUUACAGUGGAAAAUAACUGGUGCCCAAAGCAUGGCAGAGACAAUGUGGAUGUCCCUGGAGCUGAAAUACUUCAAAGAGGGGGAGAUGAGAUUUGAGUGCUGUGGAACAGUGUAGUGGCUGUCCUUGGAUUGGAAGUUUCUAAUUUCCACUACAGACAAUUUCAAGGAGAACAUCGUUAUUUUAAGGAAGACCUAUGAGAAGUUGUUUGUGCUGUUGAAGUGCAGUGACAUUUCUAACAAUGCAGUACAUGAUGUGUUUAAUUUUAUCCUUUGAAGAGCAUGUGAUAUCAAAUGCUGAGUGGCAGCUACGGAACCUCUUCGUUCUUCAGAGCAAUAUGGAAAGUGCAUUUGGGGCUGGUACACCCCAAAUAUCCACCAGCUGCUACAGAAAAUUGGAAAUAGAGAGAAUCUCCAAGCGUUUUUAAUUACAAAAUCACUUUUAAAGCCAUUUCUGAGUAAAUAUCGUUCAAACAUACCCCAUCCUGUUCUUGUUCUUUAAAAUGCAGCCUAUGCUGUACACAUUAGUGAGGAUAUGGAUGCCACGUAGCUACCAUUUUGUAGUUCAGGACUAAAAAGGACAAGCCAUUUUGGGGGCAUUUCAGAGAGCUGAAUAUUUUUUGUUCAAG